Molecule: ribosomal RNA, 301 nt
Filed under: uncultured bacterium
Lineage: Bacteria
Description: partial 16S ribosomal RNA
Rfam family: Bacterial small subunit ribosomal RNA
Source: RNAcentral
CAGCAGCCGCGGGAAUACGAAGGGUGCAAGCGUUAAUCGGAAUUACUGGGCGUAAAGCGUGCGUAGGCGGUGAGUUAAGUCUGCUGUGAAAUCCCCGGGCUCAACCUGGGAAUGGCAGUGGAUACUGGCUCGCUAGAGUGUGUCAGAGGAUGGUGGAAUUCCCGGUGUAGCGGUGAAAUGCGUAGAGAUCGGGAGGAACAUCAGUGGCGAAGGCGGCCAUCUGGGACAACACUGACGCUGAGGCACGAAAGCGUGGGGAGCAAACAGGAUUAGAUACCCGUGUAGUCCCUGUCUCUUAUAU